RNAcentral lists this long non-coding RNA (203 nucleotides) under Homo sapiens (human). RNAcentral's name for it is "non-protein coding lnc-CEP57L1-1:5". Lineage: Eukaryota; Metazoa; Chordata; Mammalia; Primates; Hominidae. The record is from RNAcentral.
GAAAGAUGAUGACCUCUCCAUGAAACAAAAUGAAAAUGAUCUAUCACAGAUAACUCUCAGCCAACAUGCUGAUGGGCCUCUCAAGCAGAUACAAGAGACAGGGUACAACUAUGCAAUGACCCUACAACUGCUGGGCUUGGAAGACGGCACUGACCCCAGUGAUAGGAAUCCUGUUCUGAUGAGAGGGGCCUACUUGUCCUUUC